Molecule: ribosomal RNA, 392 nt
Filed under: uncultured bacterium
Lineage: Bacteria
Description: partial 16S ribosomal RNA
Rfam family: Bacterial small subunit ribosomal RNA
Source: RNAcentral
AUACGGAGGAUCCGAGCGUUAUCCGGAUUUAUUGGGUUUAAAGGGUGCGCAGGCGGCCAUUUAAGUCAGCGGUUAAAUCGUGGGGCUCAACCCCAUUCUGCCGUUGAUACUGGGUGGCUUGUUUGCGGUCGAGGUUGGCGGAAUUCGUUGUGUAGCGGUGAAAUGCAUAGAUAUGACGAAGAACACCGAUUGCGUAGGCAGCUGACCAGACCGCAAAUGACGCUCAUGCACGAAAGUGCGGGGAUCGAACAGGAUUAGAUACCCUGGUAGUCCGCACAGUAAACGAUGAAUACUUGUUUUCGGCGAUAUAAUGUCGGAGGCAAAGCGAAAGCGAUAAGUAUUCCACCUGGGGAGUACGCCGGCAACGGUGAAACUCAAAUGAAUUGACGGGG